RNAcentral lists this ribosomal RNA (433 nucleotides) under uncultured bacterium. RNAcentral's name for it is "partial 16S ribosomal RNA". It matches the Rfam family "Bacterial small subunit ribosomal RNA", at positions 29 to 507 of the family's 1533-position model. The record is from RNAcentral.
AACGAACGCUGGCGGCAUGCCUAACACAUGCCAGUCGAACGAGACCUUCGUGUCUAGUUGCGCACGGGUGCGUAACGCGUGGGAACCUUCCCUUAGGUUCCGAAUAACUCCCCGAAAGGGGUGCUAAUACCGGAUAAUGUCUUCUGACCAAAGAUUUAUCGCCUUUGGAUGGGCCCGCGUUGGAUUAGCUAGUUGGUAGGGUAAAAGCCUACCAAGGCGACGAUCCAUAGCUGGUCUGAGAGGAUGAUCAGCCACACUGGGACUGAGACACGGCCCAGAAUCCUGCGGGAGGCAGGAGUGGGGAAUAUUGGAAAACGGGCGAAGGCCUGAUCCAGCAAUGCCGCGUGAGUGAUGAAGGCCUUAGGGUUGUAAAGCUCUUUUACCCGGGAUGAUAAUGACAGUACCGGGAGAAUAAGCUCCGGCUAACUCCGUG